Molecule: ribosomal RNA, 523 nt
Filed under: uncultured bacterium
Lineage: Bacteria
Description: partial 16S ribosomal RNA
Rfam family: Bacterial small subunit ribosomal RNA
Source: RNAcentral
UGGGGAAUAUUGGACAAUGGGCGCAAGCCUGAUCCAGCCAUGCCGCGUGAGUGAUGAAGGCCUUAGGGUUGUAAAGCUCUUUCGCCGACGAAGAUAAUGACGGUAGUCGGAGAAGAAGCCCCGGCUAACUUCGUGCCAGCAGCCGCGGUAAUACGAAGGGGGCUAGCGUUGUUCGGAAUCACUGGGCGUAAAGCGCACGUAGGCGGAUUGUUAAGUCAGGGGUGAAAGCCUGGAGCUCAACUCCAGAACUGCCCUUGAUACUGGCAAUCUCGAGUCCGGAAGAGGUAAGUGGAACUGCGAGUGUAGAGGUGAAAUUCGUAGAUAUUCGCAAGAACACCAGUGGCGAAGGCGGCUUACUGGUCCGGUACUGACGCUGAGGUGCGAAAGCGUGGGGAGCAAAACAGGAUUAGAUACCCUGGUAGUCCACGCCGUAAACGAUGGAGGCUAGCCGUUGGCGAGCAUGCUCGUCAGUGGCGCAGCUAACGCAUUAAGCCUCCCGCCUGGGGAGUACGGUCGCAAGAUU